UGCAGUCGAACGAUGAAGCCCAGCUUGCUGGGUGGAUUAGUGGCGAACGGGUGAGUAACACGUGAGUAACCUGCCCUUAACUCUGGGAUAAGCCUGGGAAACUGGGUCUAAUACCGGAUAGGAGCGUCCACCGCAUGGUGGGUGUUGGAAAGAUUUAUCGGUUUUGGAUGGACUCGCGGCCUAUCAGCUUGUUGGUGAGGUAAUGGCUCACCAAGGCGACGACGGGUAGCCGGCCUGAGAGGGUGACCGGCCACACUGGGACUGAGACACGGCCCAGACUCCUACGGGAGGCAGCAGUGGGGAAUAUUGCACAAUGGGCGCAAGCCUGAUGCAGCGACGCCGCGUGAGGGAUGACGGCCUUCGGGUUGUAAACCUCUUUCAGUAGGGAAGAAGCGAAAGUGACGGUACCUGCAGAAGAAGCACCGGCUAACUACGUGCCAGCAGCCGCGGUAAUACGUAGGGUGCGAGCGUUAUCCGGAAUUAUUGGGCGUAAAGAGCUCGUAGGCGGUUUGUCGCGUCUGUCGUGAAAGUCCGGGGCUUAACCCCGGAUCUGCGGUGGGUACGGGCAGACUAGAGUGCAGUAGGGGAGACUGGAAUUCCUGGUGUAGCGGUGGAAUGCGCAGAUAUCAGGAGGAACACCGAUGGCGAAGGCAGGUCUCUGGGCUGUAACUGACGCUGAGGAGCGAAAGCAUGGGGAGCGAACAGGAUUAGAUACCCUGGUAGUCCAUGCCGUAAACGUUGGGCACUAGGUGUGGGGACCAUUCCACGGUUUCCGCGCCGCAGCUAACGCAUUAAGUGCCCCGCCUGGGGAGUACGGCCGCAAGGCUAAAACUCAAAGGAAUUGACGGGGGCCCGCACAAGCGGCGGAGCAUGCGGAUUAAUUCGAUGCAACGCGAAGAACCUUACCAAGGCUUGACAUGUUCUCGAUCGCCGUAGAGAUACGGUUUCCCCUUUGGGGCGGGUUCACAGGUGGUGCAUGGUUGUCGUCAGCUCGUGUCGUGAGAUGUUGGGUUAAGUCCCGCAACGAGCGCAACCCUCGUUCCUGUUG
RNAcentral lists this ribosomal RNA (1048 nucleotides) under Micrococcus sp. NCCP-2056. RNAcentral describes it as "bacterial SSU rRNA". It matches the Rfam family "Bacterial small subunit ribosomal RNA", at positions 56 to 1116 of the family's 1533-position model. The record is from RNAcentral. Lineage: Bacteria; Bacillati; Actinomycetota; Actinomycetes; Micrococcales; Micrococcaceae.